ACGAACGCUGGCGGCGUGCUUAACACAUGCAAGUCGAACGGGAUCCGGGCUUUCGGGUUUGGUUAGAGUGGCGAACGGGUGAGUAACACGUGAGUAACCUGCCCCCUUCUUUGGGAUAACGUCGGGAAAUCGGCGCUAAUACUGGAUAUUCUUGCUGCAUCGCAUGGUGUGGUUUGGAAAGGGUUUCUGGUGGGGGAUGGGCUCGCGGCCUAUCAGCUUGUUGGUGGGGUGAUGGCCUACCAAGGCUUUGACGGGUAGCCGGCCUGAGAGGGUGUCCGGCCACACUGGGACUGAGACACGGCCCAGACUCCUACGGGAGGCAGCAGUGGGGAAUAUUGCACAAUGGGCGCAAGCCUGAUGCAGCGACGCCGCGUGAGGGAUGACGGCCUUCGGGUUGUAAACCUCUUUCAGUAUGGAACAAGGAUCCUUCUUUUGGGGGGUUUGAGGGUACGUGCAGAAGAAGCGCCGGCUAACUACGUG
RNAcentral lists this ribosomal RNA (480 nucleotides) under uncultured bacterium. RNAcentral's name for it is "partial 16S ribosomal RNA". It matches the Rfam family "Bacterial small subunit ribosomal RNA", at positions 29 to 507 of the family's 1533-position model. The record is from RNAcentral.